CCUACGGGUGGCAGCAGUGAGGAAUAUUGGUCAAUGGGCGAGAGCCUGAACCAGCCAAGUCGCGUGAGGGAGUACUGCCCUAUGGGUUGUAAACCUCUUUUGUCGGGGAGCAAAAGCCGGACGUGUCCGGCUGUGAGAGUACCCGAAGAAAAAGCAUCGGCUAACUACGUGCCAGCAGCCGCGGUAAUACGUAGGGGGCAAGCGUUGUACGGAUUUACUGGGUGGAAAGGGAGCGUAGACGGCCAGACAAGUCAGAAGUGAAAGCCCAGGGCUCAACCCUGGGACUGCUUUUGAAACUGCCGGGCUGGAGUGCAGGAGAGGUAAGCGGAAUUCCUAGUGUAGCGGUGAAAUGCGUAGAUAUUAGGAGGAACACCAGUGGCGAAGGCGGCUUACUGGACUGUAACUGACGUUGAGGCUCGAAAGCGUGGGGAGCAAACAGGAUUAGAUACCCUUGUAGUC
RNAcentral lists this ribosomal RNA (459 nucleotides) under uncultured bacterium. RNAcentral describes it as "partial 16S ribosomal RNA". It matches the Rfam family "Bacterial small subunit ribosomal RNA", at positions 338 to 795 of the family's 1533-position model. The record is from RNAcentral.